Molecule: long non-coding RNA, 2419 nt
Filed under: Marmota monax (woodchuck)
Lineage: Eukaryota; Metazoa; Chordata; Mammalia; Rodentia; Sciuridae
Source: RNAcentral
GUCAUUCCCAGGGUCACAGGGUUGCUCAGUCCAGUUCAGAAACUUUUUGAGUCUCAGGGCAUUUCCCAGGGUCACAGUGGUGCACAGAAACUUCUCCAGAGUGUGAGGGGUGUCAUUUUCUUUCCAGGCUCUCAGUGAAGCUAUAAUCUUCCUAGGUUACAAUGAUGCUAAGUGCCUUCCCCAGAGUCUUAGUGAUCCUGAGGACCUUCUUCAGGGUAUCAGAGGAGUUCAGGGUCUUUCCCAGUGCCAAUGGAACCCAGGGCCUACCCUAGAGUUUCAGGAGGACUCAAUGUGUUCUCCAGAAUUUCAAUCUUGUUUGAGAGGUCCACAUGGAUUUCAUGGUGCUCAGAUUUUUUUUCCCAGUGUUUAGAAAGUCUAAGGUCUCAACAAGAUUCACAGAGUUGUCAAAUUCAUUCAUGGUUGUCUCAAUGAUGUUCAAAAUUUUCCUCAAUGUCUUUAGAAGGCAAAGAGCCAUUCUUAGGUUGACAGAUGUAUUCACAACCUCCCCAAGAGUCUUAGUGGUCUCAUUGCCUUCCCAGGCUCUCAGUGCAGCUCAGCAACCUUCCGAUGGUCACCAUGUGCUCAGGGCAUUAGUGAGGGUCUCAGUAGUUCUCCUCACAUUUUCCAGGGCUCACUGAGUUUCAGAGCCAUCCCCAGAGUCUCCUUUUCUUUCCUGUAUGUUUACAGGUUCUCCAUGAGGCUCAGUGCUAGUCUCAGAGUCUCAGUGAUGUUCAGUGCUUCUUCCAACCUCAGAAUGAGGUUCUGGGUGUUCUCCAAGGUUUAGGGCCAUUCAGGGUUUCUCAACAAAGUCCAGAGCACUACCCAAGGUCUUUGUGAAGCUGAGUGUCAUUUCCAGCAUCACAGUGGUGCUCAUCAUCUUCCCAAGAGUUUGAUUAAUUGUGUCAGAGCAUUUCUAAGUGUCAUGGUGAGGCCUAGGAUCUACCCUCUUCUUUCAGCACAUUUACAAACUGUACACAAUAUAUAGUGGUGCUUAGACUCUUCCCCAGUAUUCUGGAAACAUAAUGGCUCUUACUAGUGUCUCCAAGGGGAAUAGUGCCUUGCCCAGUGUGUUAUUGUAACAGAUAAACAUUUCCAUUGUCACAGUUGUGCUCGGUUCCCUCCCCACUGUGUCAGUGGCAUUUGGGCAACUCCAUUUUUCUGAGUGUAAGCUCAGAGUUUUCUUCAAAGUUUAGCUCUGACUCAGUGCUUUCCUCAGUGACUUACUGGGUUCAGAGAAUUCUCUAGGGGUGUUUUGUUUGUUUUGAGUUAUCAGGUAUAAUUGGUUUUCAGAUUUUCCCCAAGAACUUCUAUGUGCCUAAAGACCUGAAAUAGCUUCUCAGUGGGUUUUGUGACUUCCACCAGGGUCUAAGUGGGUUUGAGGACCUUUCCCAGGAUAUCAUUGUGUCUCAGUGCUUUUCAGACUCAACAAGGAAGCUCAUGGCUCUCUUCUGUUCCUUACUGGGCCUCAAUGCCUUCCACAGUAUAUCAGUAGUUCUUUUAAUCCUCUCCAGAUUCUCAGUCAGACAAAAGGCUAUCCAUGGUAUUUCAAGGGUGUUCACAUGUUUUUUUAACAAGUGUGUGUUUUAAAGGCCUUCAAAAGUGUGUCUUAGAAUUCAGCCAUUCACUGGUGUCUAAAUGGGAUUUAGGGGUUUUCCCAGUGAAUCACUGGAAUUUAGAACUUCUCCAGGUCAGUAUGAAUCCCAUGGCCUUUCAUGUGCAUUAAAUGGAGUGUGAUUCUUUCCUUGCCCAGAAUCUCAAUGAGUUUUAUGGUCUCCUCAAUUCUCAUAGUCCUAUUCAGGGUGGUCUCCCAGAGUCUCAGUGUUCUCCUUCCAUUCCUCAGGCAUUCAGUGGAUCUCUUGAACAUUCCCUGAAUCUCAAUGUGGUUCAGGAUGUUCCCCAAAAUUUCAUAGAGCCAAAAGCAUUGCCCAAAUCCUCAGUGGAACUCACUACCAUUACCAGCUCUUCAGGUUUUCUCAGAAUAUUUUGCAGUGUCUCAAUCAUGUUCAGUGCUAUUUCCCAGAGUCUCACCUCGGCUUAAAUAUUUCCCCAAAGGUAGACUGGGUUCAGUGUCAGUAAAUCUCAGCCCCUUUUCCAGGCUCUCAGUGGAGUUCAUUGCCAUUCCCAGGGUCACAGUUGUUCCCAAGGCCUUCUUCACAGUCAUAAUGGUGUCAUUGCCUUUCCAAGCAGUCAAUGAAGCUAUAGUUUUCCUAGGUUACACUGGUGACCAUGGUGUACCCCAUUGUCUACCUGACACUCAGCGCCUUCUUCAUGAUAUCAGAGGAGCUCAGGGGCUUUUGUUUUUGUUUAGUUUUGUUUUUGUCAGUGUGUCUCAUGACCUAUUCUAUGGUCUGAGGAGGGCUCAAGGCCUUCCUCAGAAUUUCAGUCAUGUUUAGAAACCUCCACAUGUUCUUCAUGGUGC